AGAGCACGGCAGUGAGACUGCGGGGGAUAAGCUUCGUAGUCGAGAGGGAAACAGCCCAGAUCGCCGGCUAAGGCCCCGAAGCGUGUACUAAGUGGAAAAGGAUGUGGGAUCGCGAAGACAACCAGGAGGUUGGCUUAGAAGCAGCCAUCCUUGAAAGAGUGCGUAAUAGCUCACUGGUCGAGUGGUUCUGCGCCGACAAUGUAGUGGGGCUCAAGUACACCGCCGAAGCCGCGGCAUCCAUGCAGUGUUGUGUGGGUGGGUAGGGGAGCGUCGUGUGGCCGGUGAAGCUGCCGAGGAAUCGAGUGGUGGAGGCUAUGCGAGUGAGAAUGCAGGCAUGAGUAGCGAAUGACGAGUGAGAACCUCGUCCGCCGAAUGACUAAGGGUUCCUGGGUCAAGCUAAUCUUCCCAGGGUGAGUCGGGACCUAAGGCGAGGCCGACAGGCGUAGUCGAUGGACAACGGGUUGAUAUUCCCGUACCCGCGCACAUGCGCCCAUGGUGAAUCAGUGAGACUAACCACCCGAUAGUGCGCCUGCCGCGGACACGGUUACGUGUUCGCAUGAUGGUGGGUGUGGUAUUCGCGUGGGGCCUAAUAUCUGGUAGUAGCCAAACGAUGGGGUGACGCAGGAAGGUAGUCGAGCCACUGAUUGGAUUGUGGUGUAAGCGUGUAGCCCGCAGGCCAGGGAAAUCCGGUACUGCCCCAAUACGGUUGGGAGGGUGAGACGUGAUGCGUACCCACAGUAUGUGGGGAUGUCGAUGAUCCUAUGCUGCCGAGAAAAGCCUCUAGUGAGUGUGUGUGCGGCCCGUACCCGAAACCGACACAGGUAGUCAGGUAGAGAAUACUCAGGCGAUCGGGCGAACUGUGGUUAAGGAACUCGGCAAAAUGCCCCCGUAACUUCGGGAGAAGGGGGGCCACGCGUGGUGACCCACCCUUGCGGUGGUGAGGCUGCGCGGGGCCGCAGAGAAGAGAGGGAAGCGACUGUUUACUAAAAACACAGGUCCGUGCGAAGACGAUCAAGUCGAAGUAUACGGACUGACGCCUGCCCGGUGCUGGAAGGUUAAGAGGACCUGUGAAACCCACCUGUGUGGUGGGUUGAAGCGGAGAAUUUAAGCCCCAGUAAACGGCGGUGGUAACUAUAACCAUCCUAAGGUAGCGAAAUUCCUUGUCGGGUAAGUUCCGACCUGCACGAAUGGCGUAACGACUUCCCUGCUGUCUCAACCACAGACCCGGCGAAAUUGCACUACGAGUAAAGAUGCUCGUUACGCGCGGCAGGACGAAAAGACCCCGGGACCUUCACUAUAGCUUGGUAUUGAUAUUCGAUACGGUUUGUGUAGGAUAGGUGGGAGACUAUGAGCCCAUCACGCCAGUGAUGGAGGAGUCGUUGUUGAAAUACCACUCUGAUCGUAUUGGGUAUCUUCAAACCUCGGCCCGUGAUCCGGGUCAGGGACAGUGCCUGGUGGGUAGUUUAACUGGGGCGGUUGCCUCCCAAACAGUAACGGAGGCGCCCAAAGGUUUCCUCAGCCUGGUUGGCAAUCAGGUGGCGAGUGUAAGUGCACAAGGAAGCUUGACUGUGAGACUGACAGGUCGAGCAGGUACGAAAGUAGGGACUAGUGAUCCGGCACCGGCUUGUGGAAGCGGUGUCGCUCAACGGAUAAAAGGUACCCCGGGGAUAACAGGCUGAUCUUCCCCAAGAGUCCAUAUCGACGGGAUGGUUUGGCACCUCGAUGUCGGCUCGUCGCAUCCUGGGGCUGGAG
This 1752-nucleotide ribosomal RNA is filed under the name Corynebacterium freiburgense DSM 45254. RNAcentral describes it as "bacterial LSU rRNA". It matches the Rfam family "Bacterial large subunit ribosomal RNA", at positions 972 to 2558 of the family's 2925-position model. Lineage: Bacteria; Bacillati; Actinomycetota; Actinomycetes; Mycobacteriales; Corynebacteriaceae. The record is from RNAcentral.